RNAcentral lists this ribosomal RNA (468 nucleotides) under uncultured bacterium. RNAcentral describes it as "partial 16S ribosomal RNA". It matches the Rfam family "Bacterial small subunit ribosomal RNA", at positions 28 to 507 of the family's 1533-position model. The record is from RNAcentral.
GACGAACGCUGGCGGUGUGCUUAACACAUGCAAGUCGAACGGUAAGGCCCUUUCGGGGUUCCCCUAGUGGCGAACGGGUGCGUAACACGUGGGUAACCUUCCCUCAUCUCUUGGAUAACAGUCGUAAACGGGUGCUAAUACUGGAAAUGAGCUUGCCAGGCAUCUGGUGGGUUGGAAAGAUUUUUUUUGGUUGGGGAACGACUCGCGGCCUUUCAGCUUUUUGGUGAGGUCGUGGCUCACCCAGGCUACGACGGGUAGCCGGCCUGCGAGUGCGACCGCCCGCACUAGAACUGAGAGACGGCCCACAGUCCUACGUGAGGCAGCAGUGGGGAAUAUUGCACAAUGGACGGCCGUCUGAGGCAGCAACGCCGCGUGCGUGAUGACGGCCUUCGUGUUGUAAACCGCGUUCAAUUGUGACGCAGCUUUUUUGUGACGGUAGCAGUAGAAGAAGCACCGGCUAACUACGUG